Molecule: ribosomal RNA, 597 nt
Filed under: Streptomyces sp.
Lineage: Bacteria; Bacillati; Actinomycetota; Actinomycetes; Kitasatosporales; Streptomycetaceae
Also listed under: 1 other name
Description: bacterial SSU rRNA
Rfam family: Bacterial small subunit ribosomal RNA
Source: RNAcentral
CCUUCGGGGUGGAUUAGUGGCGAACGGGUGAGUAACACGUGGGCAAUCUGCCCUGCACUCUGGGACAAGCCCUGGAAACGGGGUCUAAUACCGGAUACGACACGCUCAGGCAUCUGAUGCGUGUGGAAAGCUCCGGCGGUGCAGGAUGAGCCCGCGGCCUAUCAGCUUGUUGGUGAGGUAACGGCUCACCAAGGCGACGACGGGUAGCCGGCCUGAGAGGGCGACCGGCCACACUGGGACUGAGACACGGCCCAGACUCCUACGGGAGGCAGCAGUGGGGAAUAUUGCACAAUGGGCGCAAGCCUGAUGCAGCGACGCCGCGUGAGGGAUGACGGCCUUCGGGUUGUAAACCUCUUUCAGCAGGGAAGAAGCGCAAGUGACGGUACCUGCAGAAGAAGCGCCGGCUAACUACGUGCCAGCAGCCGCGGUAAUACGUAGGGCGCAAGCGUUGUCCGGAAUUAUUGGGCGUAAAGAGCUCGUAGGCGGCUUGUCACGUCGGGUGUGAAAGCCCGGGGCUUAACCCCGGGUCUGCAUUCGAUACGGGCUAGCUAGAGUUCGGUAGGGGAGAUCGGAAUUCCUGGUGUAGCGGUGAAAUGC